UACGAAGGGGGCUAGCGUUGUUCGGAUUUACUGGGCGUAAAGCGCACGUAGGCGGCGAUUCAAGUCAGAGGUGAAAGCCCGGGGCUCAACCCCGGAACUGCCUUUGAAACUAGAUUGCUAGAAUCCUGGAGAGGCGAGUGGAAUUCCGAGUGUAGAGGUGAAAUUCGUAGAUAUUCGGAAGAACACCAGUGGCGAAGGCGACUCGCUGGACAGGUAUUGACGCUGAGGUGCGAAAGCGUGGGGAGCAAACAGG
This 253-nucleotide ribosomal RNA is filed under the name uncultured bacterium. RNAcentral's name for it is "partial 16S ribosomal RNA". It matches the Rfam family "Bacterial small subunit ribosomal RNA", at positions 524 to 776 of the family's 1533-position model. The record is from RNAcentral.